Molecule: ribosomal RNA, 207 nt
Filed under: uncultured bacterium
Lineage: Bacteria
Description: partial 16S ribosomal RNA
Rfam family: Bacterial small subunit ribosomal RNA
Source: RNAcentral
CGUGCAGGCGGUUCGGUAAGUUGGAUGUGAAAGCUCCCGGCUCAACUGGGAGAUGUCGUUCAAUACUGCCGGGCUAGAGGACGGUAGAGGGAGGUGGAAUUCCCGGUGUAGUGGUGAAAUGCGUAGAUAUCGGGAGGAACACCAGUGGCGAAGGCGGCCUCCUGGGCCGUUCCUGACGCUAAGACGCGAAAGCUAGGGUAGCGAACG